AAAACCAUCAACCCCUAUACAUUACAAGGAAGGAAAAAAGAGUAAAAGAGGGAGAGAGAGAGAGAUGUAGAACUGGUCCUGUGGAGAGACAAGCACAUUCUCACCUUUAAUGUGCUGAACCAGUGCGCUGCCAUAGUCUUCAACGGGCCCAGAUACCAAUAUCUGAAAAGGGGGAAAAAAGACGGUCAUUCUCAGGUCUUACUACACUCUGGUGAAUGGUCAUUCUCAGGUCUUACUUGCUGAUGGAGGAGGCCACAUCUCUGAAAGCCCCCCAGCGCAGUCCUAUCAGGGCAAACACCGGCUGCUCCUUCUCCCCCUGUGCACACACACAGACACAGACCAAACACAAACUCUUCCAUCAAACUGUCACAUCGCAGAAGCACAGCAUCAUUCCUCCACUGUGGAUUUAGCUCAUCCCCACAAUUCCUUGCAACUGCUGUAAUGGCCUUAUCUUAGUUAGGUUCAGUGUCAAACUUGUUCUUCUCACACAGACUCAUUGAGAGGGUGUCUCGGGACAGUGGGAAGUCUGGAGUCAUCGGCUUUGGCAAACGGAAGUUUCCUGGAGAUGGGGAGUGGCUUCGCCCCUCAGACUCACCUUGACCUGCAGCACAUCCAGCGGCACCGUUUUCCCCUUAAGGAUUGCCAGCGUCGCUCCGGUGAUGUGUCUGACAACACCACAAAAAACAAGUCUGAGUGUCGUGAGAAGGGGGCAGGUAUUGAUGAGAAAAGUGUGUGUGUGUGUCCGUGUGAGCUCAUAGGUGCAAGACACUUCUGGCAUCUGAGCAGAACGGUUUCUGUGGGGCACACGCAAGAUACUCACUUAACUUUAUUUUCAGUCUGGAAAUGCAGACUCUGGCUCAAGGAAUUCUGGGAACCCAGAGGGAUGAAGCCAAUGGGAGUGCUACUGUACGAAUCCUGCAUUUGAGCAACGCCCACAAAGCCAGUAUUAAUAUCCCACAUGCUCAUGCUUUUUAAUGAAUGAGUGUGCUGCGCUACACAGAUUUCAAAGACAACAUUUCUGAUAACCAAAAUGUCUUCCGGAGUCUUAACUUACCUGAUCAGUUCUACGCAGCAAUCCUGUGACCACCUGCAUAGAGGGACAAACAGAGGGAGGGUCAGUGUGCUUACCCAUAUCUGAGCACCAAUACAGAUCUAGAGUCAGUGGGGAAAUGCUAAACUUGGGGUAUAUACAGAUUUAAACAUGCUUUCUGAAAAGUAACUUUUAUUUUAAAACAAGGGCACGGUGUCAUUGAUGUGACACCGUUCAGCUACUUCAGGGCUAAAAGCUUUCCCUUGUGGAGGAUCUUCAGCCUGGUAAAUGUGAGUUACAAGCCAGGUCCAUGAGGUCAGUCCUACAUCCAAGAAUAUGGUCAUUAUAACAUUUAAAUACUCAUUAUAAAUCAUUCUGGAAGUCCCUGAAUAUAAUUAUAUAUAUUUUUUUUUUUUUUGCAUAACAUUUGCAUUUCAGCAUACAUUUACUUUGGAAGUGAUACGUUUCAGUACUUUAAAAUGUUUUUACUUAUAAGGGUCCAUAUUAAAAUAUAAAACACAUAUACUUCCUUUGGAGUAUAUUUAUUUGAAUACUCUGAAUUACAUUGCAAAUUGUUUG
This is a long non-coding RNA of Anguilla rostrata (American eel), 1609 nucleotides long. RefSeq lists it as uncharacterized. The transcript is spliced from 2 exons. The record is from RefSeq and is a predicted model, not a curated record. NCBI's taxonomy places the organism in Eukaryota, Metazoa, Chordata, Actinopteri, Anguilliformes, Anguillidae.